UACGUAGGUGGCAAGCGUUGUCCGGAUUUAUUGGGUUUAAAGGGUGCGUAGGCGGUCUUGUAGGUCAGUUGUGAAAUACGGCAGCUUAACUGUCGAGGUGCAAUUGAUACUGCAAGACUUGAGUACUGAUGAGGUAGGCGGAAUGGACGGUGUAGGGGUGAAAUGCGUAGAGAUGGUCCAGAACACCGAGAGCGAAGGCAGCUUACUAAGGAGUAACUGACGCUGAGGCGCGAAAGUGUGGGGAUCAAACAGG
Molecule: ribosomal RNA, 253 nt
Filed under: uncultured bacterium
Lineage: Bacteria
Description: partial 16S ribosomal RNA
Rfam family: Bacterial small subunit ribosomal RNA
Source: RNAcentral